UAAAUAUAGUGUUUUAUUCGAUAAUAUAACUGCAUGUACAUCUUUAGAAGCCUCUUGCCUUGAAAUCGCACCGUCAAACUUAAAACUAUAACCUAUUAAAUCUGCUUGUGUGUCAUUACCACUCACAGCACAGCGAUUAAAUGAUGCAGUAAAACCAAAUCGUUUCAUACACUUUAACAUAACUACGACUGACAUUAACUGUGCAGAUGUACCUGAUUCUAUUUUUUCAAGAACAAAUUGUAAUAAUUGAUAGUUAUAUGGUGCAAUGUCACCUUCAUCCAUUGAGCGCUCAAUAGUUUCAGCUGCCAGAGAGGCAUAACUGCUUACGUAAAGGUCCAUUUGUAAUUUAUAAUGUUGACUAAUAAC
RNAcentral lists this small RNA (366 nucleotides) under Staphylococcus aureus. RNAcentral's name for it is "5'UTR". Lineage: Bacteria; Bacillati; Bacillota; Bacilli; Caryophanales; Staphylococcaceae. The record is from RNAcentral.